This 395-nucleotide transfer RNA is filed under the name uncultured Microcystis sp. Its description in RNAcentral is "partial contains 16S-23S ribosomal RNA intergenic spacer, and 23S ribosomal RNA". The stretch from base 133 to 206 matches the Rfam family "tRNA". Lineage: Bacteria; Bacillati; Cyanobacteriota; Cyanophyceae; Chroococcales; Microcystaceae. The record is from RNAcentral.
AAGGGAGACCUAAUUCCGGUAGGAGACGAAAAAAAAGUAGUCCCUACCAAGAAUCAAUCCCAAAAGGUCGGAACGAGGUAUGAGGCUUUCAAACUAGGUUCUGGGUUCAUAAAAGACCUGAAUCAGGAACAAGGGCUAUUAGCUCAGGUGGUUAGAGCGCACCCCUGAUAAGGGUGAGGUCCCUGGUUCGAGUCCAGGAUGGCCCACCUGCACAGGUGGCAAAAACAAAGAAGCUCCGAAUCAGCACCUUAUCUUACUUAUAUAGUAAGAGAGAAUGCUGGCUCUGAGUUCAGAGUCCAGAGGAACCUUGAAAACUGCAUAGAGCUAGGUGAAAAAGCCAAAAAAGAAGACCGCAAGGUCAAGCUAAUAAGGGCUAACGGUGGAUACCUAGGCAC